This 253-nucleotide ribosomal RNA is filed under the name uncultured bacterium. RNAcentral describes it as "partial 16S ribosomal RNA". It matches the Rfam family "Bacterial small subunit ribosomal RNA", at positions 524 to 776 of the family's 1533-position model. The record is from RNAcentral.
UACGAAGGGGGCUAGCGUUGCUCGGAAUGACUGGGCGUAAAGGGCGCGUAGGCGGUUCGUACAGUUGGAUGUGAAAUUCCUGGGCUCAACCUGGGGGCUGCGUUUGAUACGUGCGGACUUGAGUGCGGAAGAGGGUCGUGGAAUUCCCGGUGUAGCGGUGAAAUGCGUAGAUAUCGGAAGGAACACCUGUGGCGAAAGCGGCUCACUGGACCAUUACUGACGCUGAGGCACGAAAGCUAGGGGAGCAAACAGG